Molecule: long non-coding RNA, 214 nt
Filed under: Elaeis guineensis (African oil palm)
Lineage: Eukaryota; Viridiplantae; Streptophyta; Magnoliopsida; Arecales; Arecaceae
Description: long non-coding RNA (EGUI_LNC033466)
Source: RNAcentral
UAUAAUAUCCAAUUUUUUAUAAUGAAAUUUUGGCAUUGUCUCUGCCCAUGGACAUAGGUCAAUAGAUUGAACUACAUAGACUUUGUAUGCUACUAUUCUUCUCUUAUCUCUCUUCUCUUCUCUCUUUUUUUUCUCUCUUCUUAUUUUCUUCUUGUUUUGUUAUUCUCUGUACUUGUCGCAAUGUGGGGAAAGGAAACCAAACAAUUUUUUGGCU